AAGUGAGACAGAGCCCAUCAGACAUGCAGAGAUUGUAAUAAUAAAGGGAAAACAAAAGAGACAAGAGAAGAUGUGGGUCGGAGAGAAAAACAGAAAAAGGACAGGAGUAGAAAAAGAAAGAGCUGGGUGGCACGGGGAGAAGAGCGAAUGAGUGAGCGAAUAGGAGACAGAGAGAGAGAGAGAGAGAGCGAGUGAGCGAGCGAGCGAGAGGGAGGGAAGCGAACAACACUGCAGACACUCGCCCACUGUCACUGCUCCACAGCCAGAGGACGGAGGCAGCCACGGCCACAGUGGAAGCAGAUACGAUGGAGGAGGAAGACCGCACCGUCCGUCUGCAGCUCUGUCCCCGUCACUGACAGCCUUCCUCUGGGACCCUCCUGCCAAGUUGGGAGAGAAACAGGAAAAAAAGGAGAAAAACUACUCUCUCUGUCCUUCAUGAGACCAAGUAGCGGACCUCAACUCCUGCAGGACUGAUAACGCACACACCUCAUUAUUUUUCCCUCUCCUACACUCACACACUCACACCCUCACUCUCUCAAACUGAAGCACAUUUCACUUCUUGUUGCCUUUUGGACCAGUUGUUCAUUUAUUCAUUUUUUCUACACGGCCUUCGCUGACCUUCUGAACUGAGUGGAUUUACUUUUAUCCUGUGGUGGACCAUGGGGCUAGGGUGGAGGGGUGCGUCAGGGACCCUCCGAAUAAGGACAGAGGGGAGCUGGCACCUUUUGGUGACAUUGCUGCUGUUCUGUGGUUUCUGGAAGGCUCGUGCACAGACAGAUGAUGGGAAGUCUCUCUACUUCUGGGAAACAGGUCCGUGGGGAAGAUGCAUGGGCAGCGACUGUGGCCCAGGUGGCAGCCAAAGCCGGGCAGUCUGGUGUGCCCAUGUGGAUGGCUGGACGACACUUCACACCAACUGUGACCAGGGCCAGCGUCCGUCCAACCAGAGGAACUGUUUUCGUGUGUGUGACUGGCACAAGGACCUUUAUGACUGGGAACUGGGUGCCUGGAAUCAAUGCGUGCCAGUUUCAGCGAGGACCUUUGGGGCUCCGCGGCCGUUCACAUGCAGUGGGGGCGAAGAGGGCAUUCAGACCCGGGAGGUGGGCUGCAUACUCAAGUCAGACGGGUCUCCAGCAGAGGAUGCCAUCUGUGAAUACUUUGAGCCCAAGCCUCGCCUGGAGCAGGCAUGUUUGAUCCCUUGUCCCCAGGACUGUGUAGUUUCCGAGUAUUCGCCAUGGACAUCCUGCUCCAAAACGUGUGGAACAGGCCUCAGGAACAGGGUCCGCAGUGUCCUGGUUCCUCCACUUUUUGGAGGCGCAGUUUGUCCCAAUCUCACAGAGUUCCAGUCUUGUAAACCGGGGCCUUGCAUGGGUCCAGAGGGCAUGUACAGUCUCAGGGUUGGACCUUGGAACCCGUGCACCCUCCCAGAGACUCGGACUACACGCCAAGUUAAACGCAGGAAGGGCAAAGGCCAGGGGCUCAGGGAGAGAGCAGGAGUCAAAGAUCCAGAGACCAGGGAGCUCAUUCAGAAGAAACGUACCAGGAAUCGCCUUAACAGGCAAGAGAGUCCAUUCUGGGACAUCCAGGUGGGCUACCAGACUCGGGAUGUGACCUGCAUACACAGGAAUGGGAGCGCUGUGGGACGCAGCCUGUGCACACCAAGGGACCUGCCGCUUACCAUCCAGUCCUGCGUCCUCCCCAAGGACUGCCAGGUGACUGACUGGGUCGCGUGGGGCCCCUGCUCCAAAACCUGCAUGGACCCGGAGUCUCCCAGAGGCAGUCGCACUCGCAGCAGACAGGUGCUCCAGUUUCCUGUGGGUGAGGGGGCGGAGUGCCUGCCGCUGGAGGAGUCAGAGGCCUGUGAACCUUCUGGCGAAGGCGUCCCGCCCUGCUCCACCUACACCUGGAGAACCACGGAGUGGAGCGACUGCCGGGUCGACUUGUUGCUAAGCCAACAGGAUCGUCGACGUAGCAACCUGACAGGGCUUUGUGGGGGCGGCCUGCAGACCAGGGAAGUUUACUGUGUCCAGGCAAACGCUGAGCUUCUAAAAUACCUCAACGGCCUCAGAGAAAAAGAGAAAGCGGGUCAGACCCAAAGACAGCAGAAGCCUAGUGUCCCCCCUCUCCUCUCCAUCACCUUCCAGAUUACAGCCUCCCGCCCGGUGGAAAACCAGCUGUGCCAGGGUCCAGUACCCAGCAGAUCCCAGCUCUGCCAAAUCCCCUGUCCCAUCGACUGUGAGGUGUCGCCGUGGGGCGCCUGGGGGCCGUGCACCUUCGAGAACUGUGACGACCAGGCUGGAAAGAAAGGUUUCAAGCUGAGAAAACGUCAGAUCACCAACGAGCCGACGGGAGGGCCUGGAAACUGCCCGCACCUGGUGGAGGCUGUGCCGUGUGACGAGCCCAGUUGUUACGACUGGCAACUGGUCAGCCUGGAUCCAUGCAUCCCUGAUGACGAGAAGCCGUGUGGCCCCGGCACUCAGCUCGCACAGGUCCAGUGCGUCAACAGCAACGGGGAGGAGGUGGACAGAAAUCUCUGCUCGUCCUCCCCUGCUCCGGAGCCUGUGCCCUGUGAGGUGCCUUGCUCGAGGGACUGCGUGCUCAGCGACUGGACGUCCUGGUCCACCUGCUCUCAGACCUGCUCCAGUAAGACCAUCGAGGGCAAGCAGAUGAGGACGCGCUCCAUCCUGGCCUACAACGCCGGGGAAGGCGGCGCCCUGUGCCCAAACAGCAGCGCCCUCCAGGAGGUUCGGAACUGUAACGAACACGCCUGUACAGUUUAUCACUGGCAGACGGGGCCUUGGGGCCCUUGUACUGAGGACCCCUCGGCCUCGCCCCUCAACACCUCCGCGGGUGCCCGUGCCAGCGGCGGCGGUCAGGGUCCCUGCUCCAUGGGAAUGCAGACUCGUAAGGUCAUCUGCGUCCGGGUCAACGUGGGACAGGUGCCCCCCAAGAAGUGUCCAGACGGCCCUCGUCCCAGCACGGUGCGACCGUGUCAGCUGCCCUGCAAGAAGGACUGCAUCAUGACCCCGUUCAGCGACUGGACCCCGUGUCCUGUUGCUUGUGAUGCAGCUGGUAAUGCCAUGAAGAGAAAGCAAUCAAGGAAACGUCUCAUCAUCCAGCUGCCGUCCAACGGAGGACAGGACUGUCCAGAGGUGCUGGAGGAGGAGAGGGACUGUGAGGUCCCCAAAAUCUGUCCUGGAUUCAGGUGGAAAACCCACAAAUGGAGGAAGUGCCAGCUGGUCCCGUGGUUUAUCAGACAGAACAGCGCAGGUGCGCAGGAGACCUGUGGACCAGGACUUCAAACAAGAGCUGUGUCCUGCCGCCAGCUGGACGGGACGCAGACCGACAUUAGCGAGUGUCUGAAAUUCGCCAAGGCCAUGCCUGCCAUCACUCAGCGAUGUCAGCUCCCCUGCCAGGAUGACUGCCAGCUGACCAACUGGUCCAAGUUCUCGUCCUGCACAGCUGACUGUGUGGGGGUCCGCACCAGGAAGAGGGCCUUGAUAGGGAGGAGCAAGAAGAAAGACAAGUGCAAGAACACGCAAAUGUACCCUUUGAGUGAGACCCAGUACUGCCCCUGUGACAAGUACAACGCCCAGCCGGUGGGGAACUGGUCAGACUGCAUCCUGCCCGAGGGAGGCCGAGUGGAGAGCGUCCUGGGCAUGAAGCCUCAGGGAGACAUCAAGGAGUGUGGACAGGGCUACCGCUACCAGGCCAUGGUGUGCUACGACCAGGACAACAGGCUGGUGGAGACUUCACGCUGCAACAGCCACGGUUAUAUUGAGGAGGCGUGCAUCAUCCCCUGUCCCUCGGACUGUAAACUCAGCGAAUGGUCCAACUGGUCACGCUGCAGCAAGUCCUGCGGCAGCGGAGUCAAAGUUCGCUCCAAGUGGCUCCGAGAGAAACCUUACAACGGCGGCCGGCCGUGCCCCAAACUGGACCACAUCAACCAGGCUCAGGUGUACGAGGUGGUUCCGUGUCAGAGCGACUGUAAUCAGUAUGUGUGGGUGGCCGAGCCGUGGAGCGUGUGGAAAGUCAGCAACGUGGACCUGAAGGAGAACUGUGGCGAAGGUGUCCAGACCAGGAAAGUCAGGUGCAUGCUGAACACUGUAGACGGGCCGUCCGAGUCUGUGGAGGACUACCUGUGUGACCCGGAGGAGAUGCCCCUGGGGGCCAGGGAGAGCCGGCUGCCCUGCCCCGAGGACUGCGUGCUCAACGACUGGGGCCCCUGGAGCCGCUGCAGCCUGCCGUGUACCAGAACCAACAGUCGAGUGCGGGCGGCGUACACCCUUCGGUCUCCCAGCGUCGGGAGGCAAUGUCCAGACACGACCGACAAAGAGCCCUGCAGCCUGAACCUCAACUGCUUCAACUACUUCUACAACAUCACAGACUGGAGUACGUGUCAGCUGAGUCCGAACGCUGUGUGCGGGAGUGGCAUCAAGACCCGGAUGCUCGACUGUGUUCGCAGUGACGGCAAAUCAGUCGAUAUGAAAUUCUGCGAGGAGUUGAAUUUGGAGAAGAAGUGGCAGAUGAACAUCUCCUGUGUGGUCGAGUGUCCCGUCAACUGUCAGCUGUCGGAGUGGUCCGUCUGGUCCGAGUGUUCACAGACGUGUGGACUGGAAGGUAAGAUGUGGCGGCAGCGUUCGGUGGUUCAGGCGUCUCAGGGCGACGGCCGGCCGUGCCCGUCUCAGAUGGAGCAGUGGAAGCCCUGUCCUGUCCGGCCCUGCUACCGGUGGCAGUACAGCCCCUGGUCCGAGUGCCGGGUUGAGAGUGUGGUGUGUGGACACGGCAUGCGCUACAGGAACCUGUCCUGCUUCGUGUCGGACGGCUCCAGCGACGGCGAAGGCAGCCCGGUGGACGAGGAGCUGUGCAGCAGCCUGGAGCUGGCAGUCGACGGAGACAACCAGAUCAGACUCAAGGAGGCCUGUACGCUUCCCUGCCCAGGUGAAUGCUACCUGAUGGAGUGGUCAGACUGGAGCUCGUGUGUGAGCAUCUGUGUGAAGGGGGCCGGCGUGGACUUCGGUUCGGUUCAGGUCCGCUCACGAGCCGUGUUGGCCCAGGAACCCGAAAACCUGCAGCUGUGUCCUGACCAGGCUUGGGAGUCUCAGCCCUGCACAGGGGGCGAAUGUUACGAGUACAAAUGGUUCAGCAGCGUAAACUCCACCCGCCCUUUGACUUGGUGUCAGCGCUCAGAUGGACUCAAUGUCACGGGAGGCUGUCCUGCCAUGAGUCCUCCGGUGGACAACAGCUCCUGUGACCCCCCCUGUCUCAUGCCAAAGUCUUUCUGCAGUGAGGCUGGCAUCUGCACGUGCGAGGAGGGAUUCACGGAGGUGCUGUCGCCCGCCGGGCAGCUGGAGCAGUGCGCCCCCAUCCCGAUCCUGGAGAUCCCCUCAGCGGGGGACAAGAAAGGUGACGUAAAGACCAGUCGUGCCAUCAACCCCACCCUGCCCACCACCAUCCUGCCCGGACGCAAUGGGCGGACCUGGUACCUGCAGCCCUACGGACCAGAUGGGAAGCUGAAGAUGUGGGUGUAUGGUGUAGCAGCCGGAGCCUUCGUGCUCCUCAUAUUCAUAGUGUCUAUGAUAUACCUAGCUUGCAGCUACUGUGCCAAGGUGCAUCGCUCUCUUAAGGCCCAAGAGUCCGACGCCAAUGGGACGGCGGUCUGGAUGGGCCAAAAUGCACAUGAGAUGAUUUACACCUGUCCCGAUUGCCAAGAGCUGGCUCAAAGCAGCAGCAGCUAAUGAGGAUGUGGAGGGUUCAGCCCCGACUCCCCGACCCCCCACACACACCCCCAGUUUAAGUACAUGCAGUCCUUGAUCUGAUCCCCCGUGACCUCUCAAAGUGUCACAUGUCCUGCCUGACAAUCUGAGUGAAGGUGCUGGCGCAGCAAAAAGCCAAAGAGACCUCAGAGACAGAGGCAACAGAACAACCGACUAAAACCUCUGACUCUCGCCUACGACGGGGACACGGACAUGUAGUCCCCCGGGGGACGCUUCGCCGAGCACUUCACCUGUCAUCGAGACCCACUUCAUCACAGCCAGCGCAGUGAGGGACAUGGAUGUUUGCAGCGUGAAUGGACACGUCACAGCGCCGAGAAAUCACAGAAAAUCCUCUUAGCAGAGACACUGAUGGGGUUUUAACCAUUUCCACUAGAGCUCCAUUCAGCCCCCUUUUGUUUUUUAUUUUAAAUUCUUUUCUUUUUCUAGAGCCUUUGUGACCUCCACCGUGUUGAGUCGAAUGCCUUCUUUUGCCCCCCACCCCCACCGCCAACCCCCACGUCCACACUCCUGUAAGGAAAGGACUCAUUUCAGUCACAAGGGGGGGAGUUGAAACGACAAGCUGGGUGCAGAGGACAGACACCAGCUCUCCUGCCGUCUCUGAACAUGGCAGCACACGCUCCAACUCUUCCCCCACGCUUUUCUGCUUGUCCCAAAAAAAUGCUGAGUAGCUGGAGGCUUAGGAUGCUCUGACGGUUCGUACGUUGCCAAAAGUCACCGCAGGGAAGAGGAGGAGGGAGGGGAAAAUCUCCAUAAAAAGGUUUGGAUUCCUUUUUCUCAAUCCUCAACUGGGUUUUGACUCAAAUCUCUUUUACAGUCUUGAACAAAAGGGAGGCAUUUCUUCUCUCUCUCUUUUUUCCCUCUCCUUUCUUUUUUCUUUUGCUUGGUUUGGAGGCACACAGGCCUGUGUUUGUGGGAUAAACUGAUCUGCUCGAUGCUGAUGGAGGAGUAGCCUGCAAUCAGUCGUUCGUGGAAACUACUGCCUGCCCGCCCGCCUGCCUGCCUCCACCCUUUUCUUUGUUUCAGGCUCUACAUUGCACUAUAUUAGUGCAGCAUGAUAUGCACAUGUGACUUCUACCUUCUAUUGCCAUAAAACACUGCCUCUUCCACAGACACAACCACAGGAACAGCAAAGUCGAGGACUUUCAGAGGAGAACGACGGCAACAGGAAACAGAUGUUCAGAUGUGUCGCGUCCGUACAGGACAGGCGUGAAUCUCCAGUAAAUAUAUGUAUAGAUUUUAUUUCUCACAACUGAUUUUUUUUUUUUUUUUUUUGGGUUGUAGUAAAGUAACAUUUUGUGGUUUGUAGAUCUCGUCUGGUGUGAUCACAUUUUCAGCCCAGAUGCAAUUAAAGAGUUCACCACGAUAUCAGCAGGUGACUUUAACGCAUCGCCCGCUUUAAAGGUCAUUUGGACCACAAAGAAAAAUCAGACAUUUUGAAGUGAUUAAAGACAAAGAAAGACCAAGAAAUUUAAACUGUUUAAACUGUUCACGUCAUGCAAACAUCAUUCCUGCCUUACUGAUGACAACUAAGUACUAACAGUCCUGUAAUACAGCUCUUAAUACUUGAAUGGGGCGUACAUUAUACACUAUAUGUAGACAUGAAGAAGAUAACAUUUCCUUCUCUUUUGAGGUCACUUAGCAAGUACACGUCGACUUUUUAAACGUUCUCAUGUAGUAAUCCGUAUCAUAUUUGCUCUGUUGUUUUUCACUCACGCUCCAUGAGGUGAGAUGUACUUAGAAAAGAAAAAAAACAGUCUGUACAAACAAAGAUUAUACAACAUGUUAAUAAUACGACAAGACGCUUCUGCUGAGUUCAACGUAAAAGCAAACUGGUGUGGAGAAUGUUUACCUUUUUGUUGUGGGAUUUGUAAAUAACAGCGAUUUUUUUAUUUUUUGGAGAAAAAAAAAUAUCAGAAGUAUGUGUACAUUUAUUUUGUAUCGCACAGAAAAUGUUUAGUUUGAAUAUUGCAAAGUGGGUGUGUGAUAUUGCUGAUUGUUGUUAUCAUGAUGCAAGUUGUAUGUUGUAAACAAAAAGAAAAAAGAAAGCAGAAAAAGACGAGACGGCGCGGCCGUUUUCCACAGGUUGUUCAUGUAUACGGGACGAAUUACUGAAAAUAAAUAAGGACACGGUUGUAAACACACAAA
Molecule: RNA transcript, 7919 nt
Organism: Scatophagus argus
Lineage: Eukaryota; Metazoa; Chordata; Actinopteri; Scatophagidae
Gene: thsd7ab
Gene name: thrombospondin type-1 domain-containing protein 7A
Exons: 29
Source: RefSeq, a predicted model, not a curated record